This is a long non-coding RNA of Ictidomys tridecemlineatus (thirteen-lined ground squirrel), 949 nucleotides long. RefSeq lists it as uncharacterized. The record is from RefSeq and is a predicted model, not a curated record. NCBI's taxonomy places the organism in Eukaryota, Metazoa, Chordata, Mammalia, Rodentia, Sciuridae.
AUUAUCACUUAGUGCCAUCAUUUCUACAGAACUGGGUAUAAAGGUAUGAAAAGUACACAAAACAUUAGGGGUACAAUCUGGACAGGAACGUGGACUUUGCUGGAUAAUAGCCUCCAGAGGACGUCGAUUCUGAUGAAUUGAUGCUGAAUUGGAUGAUGACUGAUCUCACUUGGAAUUUCUGAAACUUGCAUAUUAUAGGUCUUUGAGUCACAGCAGCAAAAAAGCUGACUAAAAUACUGCAUAUGCUAUAUACUUGUUAUGCUGUGAGUGAUCAACUCUGUCUUCAGCAACCACCCAUUAAACAGCAAUGGACUAACCCAAUAGAUUAUAAAGAAAAUCCAGAUCAGCCCAAUUGGUCCUGAAUGAUUCUGCAGUUUCUGAUGCCAUCAGUGUUGACCAACCACACACAGCCCAGCACAACAUUAUUUCAAUCUGAAUGGUGCAAAAUCAUAUGCCUCUCCUGAUGCCUGAGCAGCACUAGGAUGUACAGUGAAUGGAGACUGAGGCUGUAAUACUCAGUGACAUGGAUUUUUUUAAAGUAAACUCAUAAUUGUGAUCCAAAUCAAGUUUAACAAGUCUCAAACUGGAGUAACUGGGACCCUUUCAGGUUAUGUUUGUAUGUGGAAGAGAAUGGAUAUCCAAUGUCUUACCAAUAAGGAUGGGAGCUGCUUUUUGACCCACUGAUUGUCCUCUAUAAUAAUUGAUAAUGACACCAAGGAUCAAUGAAUUAUUUUAACCCUUAAAAAAUUUUUUUUAGUUGCAGUUGGACACAAUACCUUUAUUUUAUUUAUUAUUAUGUGAUGCUAAGGAUCGAACCCAGCACCUCACAUGUGCUAGGCAAGCACUCUAGUGCUGAGCCACAACCCCAGCCCUUUUAACCACUUUUGGGUGGGUCAUUAUGGAUGACAGACUGUUGGGGCAGGCCUCAAAAUGGCUGUAGUUAGCCUGC